UUGGAGGGCAAGUCUGGUGCCAGCAGCCGCGGUAAUUCCAGCUCCAAUAGCGUAUAUUAGAGUUGUUGCAGUUAAAAAGCUCGUAGUUGAACUUCGGGGUUUACCCAUUGGUCAGGCUUAAUUGUCUGUACUGGUGAGAUAAAUCUCUACCUUCUGAGGAACUUUCAUGUCAUUAAUUUGGUGUGAUUGGAAAUCAGGACUGUUACUUUGAAAAAAUUAGAGUGUUUAAAGUAGGCUAACGUCUGAAUACAUUAGCAUGGAAUAAUGAAAUAGGACGGAUUGAUUCUAUUUCGUUGGUUUCUAGGAUCACCGUAAUGAUUAAUAGGGAUAGUUGGGGGCAUUAGUAUUCAAUUGUCAGAGGUGAAAUUCUUGGAUUUAUUGAAGACUAACUACUGCGAAAGCAUUUGCCAAGGAUGUUUUCAUUAAUCAAGAACGAAAGUUAGGGGAUCGAAGACGAUCAGAUACCGUCGUAGUCUUAACCAUAAACUAUGCCGACUAGGGGUCGGACGAAGUUAAUUUUGUAAUGACGCGUUCGGCGCCUUACGGGAAAC
This 551-nucleotide ribosomal RNA is filed under the name uncultured Glomus. RNAcentral's name for it is "SSU rRNA". It matches the Rfam family "Eukaryotic small subunit ribosomal RNA", at positions 548 to 1098 of the family's 1831-position model. The record is from RNAcentral. Lineage: Eukaryota; Fungi; Glomeromycota; Glomeromycetes; Glomerales; Glomeraceae.